UGGGCGGUAUCGGAAGAACUGCACCUAUGGCUUUUCGGGUUUCAAUGAAAAAUAGUUCUGCCUAGAUCCGUAACUGGACCGGGACAGAGGG
Molecule: regulatory RNA element, 91 nt
Rfam family: pan motif
Source: Rfam